CUACGGGGGGCACCAGUGGGGAAUAUUGCACAAUGGAGGAAACUCUGAUGCAGCAACGCCGCGUGGAGGAUGACACUUUUCGGAGCGUAAACUCCUUUUAUAUAGGAAGAAGAUGACGGUACUAUAUGAAUAAGCGCCGGCUAACUCCGUGCCAGCAGCCGCGGUAAUAAGGAGGGCGCAAGCGUUACUCGGAAUCACUGGGCGUAAAGAGCGUGUAGGCGGAUUAAAAAGUCAGAAGUGAAAUCCUAUAGCUUAACUAUAGAACUGCUUCUGAAACUCUUAAUCUAGAAUAUUGGAGAGGUAGAUGGAAUUUCUGGUGUAGGGGUAAAAUCCGUAGAGAUCAGAAGGAAUACCGAUUGCGAAGGCGAUCUACUAGAACAUUAUUGACGCUGAGACGCGAAAGCGUGGGGAGCAAACAGGAUUAGAUACCCGAGUAGUC
This 439-nucleotide ribosomal RNA is filed under the name uncultured bacterium. RNAcentral's name for it is "partial 16S ribosomal RNA". It matches the Rfam family "Bacterial small subunit ribosomal RNA", at positions 339 to 795 of the family's 1533-position model. The record is from RNAcentral.